This 408-nucleotide ribosomal RNA is filed under the name uncultured Glomeromycotina. RNAcentral's name for it is "SSU rRNA". It matches the Rfam family "Eukaryotic small subunit ribosomal RNA", at positions 670 to 1076 of the family's 1831-position model. Lineage: Eukaryota; Fungi; Glomeromycota. The record is from RNAcentral.
AUGGUGUGUACUGGCUUUACUGAUUCCUCCUUCUUGAAGAACUGUAAUGUCAUUAAUUUGGUGUUGCAGGGAAACAGGACUGUUACUUUGAAAAAAUUAGAGUGUUUAAAGCAGGCUAACGCUUGAAUACAUUAGCAUGGAAUAAUGAAAUAGGACGUUCGAUCCUAUUUUGUUGGUUUCUAGGAUUGACGUAAUGAUUAAUAGGGAUAGUUGGGGGCAUUAGUAUUCAAUUGUCAGAGGUGAAAUUCUUGGAUUUAUUGAAGACUAACUACUGCGAAAGCAUUUGCCAAGGAUGUUUUCAUUAAUCAAGAACGAAAGUUAGGGGAUCGAAGACGAUCAGAUACCGUCGUAGUCUUAACCAUAAACUAUGCCGACUAGGGAUCGGAUGAUGUUAAUUUUUUAAUGACU